CGGACUGCAUGUGAGUGGUCAUCAGAUCCUUGACCAAUAGCGAUGGGCCACUGUGUGCAGUAUAGUGUGAUGUCAGCUAUGUGUGCUUGUGAGACAAGGAAACAGGAAGUACAGUGAGGUCCAUUAUCAGUCAAAGGGUUAUUGGUUCCUUUGACCAAACAUGUUUCAGAUAGAGAGGAGGAGAGAACACACGCUGUGUCUCAAUCUGCGUACUUCUGUAGUUAUAUUUAAUAUUUUCAGUGUAGUAAGACAACAUGUCAGAUGGCACCCUCAAAAUGUGGCUGUGUUUGAUUUGGGACGUUGCUGCCCUACGCCGCACCAUGGCAUUGUGCCCCCGCCCCGAACACCUAAGGGAGCCUGCGUGGUGCUGAGAGACUCUUGUGCUGGGAUUAAGAAUGGGAAGAUACUUCAAUCCACCCAUAACAACAACAACAACAACAACAACAACAAUCUCACACUAUUACUGAUACAAGUAUUAUAGCAAAUACCACAGAUGGUGCUGUUUUCACUAGUACUUCUAACAAUACUCAUGUCACUGUAAACACAUAGUAUGUUUAGCUUCCACAAUGAUACAGUGAACUGAUCAACCAAACCUUUUUUUUUUGCAUUUUAGUAACAUCCAGUAACAUCCACAUUUAUUCCCCCCAACUGAAAGUGUGGGUGUGAGGGUCAAUGAGUAAUCACAAUACCCCUGUACACCAGCUCUUACACAGAGUUACCUCGACACACACACACACACACACACACACUGGUGCUAAUCUUUGUUCGUGCCAUGCUGAGUUACACAAAGCCAACACUGACCCGCUGUGUACAGCCUGACCUAGCAUCUGUAUGCUCCUGUUUGUGACCACCCGCUGUGAGCGGUGUUGCACGUGUGCGGGUGGGUGAAUUCUUUUGGAAAAGUGUAUCUCCUCUCACACAGCAAGGUCAUAUAUAUAUAUAUAUGUGUUCAUACACACACACACACACACACACACACACGUAUAUGACCUCGCAUAAACAUGCGCUGGAGAUUAUCCUGCUGUUGUGAACGUGUCUGACUCGGGAGCAUGUCCGGACACGAUUCUGACACGAUUUUGGACAUUGUCGGGAGUUCAUGUCUAAAAACAGAUUACCCUCAUCCGGUGUUUACCCUGCGAGAUUGGCUCCCGACCCUUCAAGGAUAAACGCUGUGCAUAAUGGAUGGACGGUUUACAUGGAGAAAAUCCACUGGACAAAAUGGUGAACAGUAAAUGUUACGGUUAUCUCUGUAAAAAUACAAAUACAUUUUUUAAUUCUGAAUGUUGUUUUUUCACUUCCCUAUCAAUUCUGACUGUUAAGCAUUUAAACCACAUUUCUAAAACAGUCUUUGCACAAUACGUCCUGCAACCCAUUAGUCCCAGUCCUAUAAACUGCCUCAGCUCUUCAAAGUUUAGUUUGCAGACGUCUAACUUCUAUUUUCCGUUCGUAAGCAUCGUUCUAACUUUUGCAUUUUCUUCUCCAAAAUAGAACAAAGGCCUCGCAAUGCAUCAAACAAAGUGCUUGUCAGACGAGCAGCGUCUGAACCGCUCUCUGAACCUUUCCCAUGAUAGAAAUCGACGAUUGUUGCCAAUUUUUUGCAAUUUCAAGACAGAAAAUGCAAAAUGCAAAAAUCACACACACAUUUUUUUGCGCAGCGAUUGACCAGAUGUGUGGAGGUCUCUCAAGUUCUCCUCUUUCCGUUCCUCACACGUUGACCUCUACGACUUCUUGAGCGUACUUAGCCGAAACACCAAGAAUGCCUCAGAGAGGAGACUCUGUGGAAGUGUGCACCUCUACACCAUUAGUGCAUCCUAAUGAUGCCGUCCGAGGGAAGCUUUGGCAGACUCAUGGCCCAUCCUUACGAGCGUGGCCAUCCAGAACGGCUACAGACACGUUUGCCUUAAGACGUGGUUGGACGACACAUUAUUCAACCGAGUCCAUGUCAACGAUGUAGUGGGCCUUUUAAAGCUAUCUGUCAUUGGAUCAGUGCUCGCCCAAUGACCUCCUCAAGUCACAUUCAAGCCAACAAACAAUUUAAAGUUUUAUAUCUCAAAAGUAUCAGACUUUUUAAACGUGUUUCAUAUGGAUACACAGAAUAACACAGAGGGGAGGGCAAGGAAACAGAAAUACAGAAUUGGGAAUGAUUGCGAACAUUGACCCAGCGCUGUAUUGAAGUGUCUCAACGCAGAAUCAUUCGAUUCGUCUUCUCUUUGACCCUCACAUUUGACUAAAUGCAUGUAAAAAGUCACAUUGGAGGUUUCACACAAAUUUUUUUACAAAACUGUUCUAAAACCCUAUUUUCUUUUCAACCCUAGACCCUGUUUCCUGCUCCCUCUUUAAGGAGUCAUAUUUCAUGAGCCGGUGACACUGUCUGGCCACUGUUUGUUCUUUUUACUCAUAGGUACUGUUAAGUGCAGGUGUUGGUUGAAUACAGUAGCACACAGGACUGGGUCAGGGUCUGCAAACUCUUUUUUUUAAGUCUUGUUUUAACCUACUUAGGUGCAAGAUACAUGUGCUGCCCCAACACAGGUAACAACUACAGUGUUGGGCAUUGGAGAAAUGCAUUAAAGGACAUCAGUCGAGUAAAUAGGUCAAAGUUCAUCUACUUCUACUCUAAAUAGUUAAAACUUUCUUUUAGCUAUUUUGAUUUUAGAAGUGUACUUGUUUGCACUUCACAUAUGAAAGAAACCCAACAGGAGAUUGAGUCAGACGAGUUCACAAUCAGCAGGAGUAUUUCUGGAACUUUCAGGUGAGGGGUGAAACUUCCAGAGAUUUCCCAGCAGUACUCUCACAUCUGGAUAUAAAUAUCUGGACUUCAGUGCACGUCUGAAAGCAGCCAUUGUCAGCUUGCUUUGCGACGCAUGUUAGAGAUGUGUCUGUAUACCGAUGAAGGAAACGGGGGAAGAGACACGCAGAGAGAAAGACAGAAGUGACGGACAGGGACAGUUGGAGAAACCAGGGACACGUGCUGCUCAAAAAAAAAAAAGCAGAGGGGUGAGGUGGAUGAGAGAGAAGGGAAGAGAAAGAGAAUGGCGGCGGAGUGAAUAGGAGAGAGACGGGGAGCC
This 3065-nucleotide long non-coding RNA is filed under the name Scophthalmus maximus (turbot). RNAcentral's name for it is "lncRNA (ENSSMAG00000026105.1)". The record is from RNAcentral. Lineage: Eukaryota; Metazoa; Chordata; Actinopteri; Pleuronectiformes; Scophthalmidae.